This is a non-coding RNA of Coffea arabica (coffee), 8535 nucleotides long. The record is from RefSeq and is a predicted model, not a curated record. NCBI's taxonomy places the organism in Eukaryota, Viridiplantae, Streptophyta, Magnoliopsida, Gentianales, Rubiaceae.
UUUGCUUGCGUUUCGUUGUGUGGUAAGAAAUCAUCUGCUUUAUCUUCAUCGUGGGUUUUCUUUUGAUUCUCCGGUUAGGCUUUCCCUAAAUGAGAUUUAAUUGUUGUGGUUUUUUGUCUUAGCUGAAGGUCAGGAUCUUCAGUUGAUGAUCAUCGCUAGGUUCAAUCGUUGCUUCUGUGGCUGUGAUGAUUUGAUUAAUUUGAAGCUUAUUAUCGCUAAUUUUUUUGAUGGCGACUUUUGAGAUUUAAUCAUGGUUUUUUUUUGGCGGUAUUUUGAAGGAUUGAACGGGAAGGAUACCAGUUUUUGCACUAGAUUCGGUUUGUUUAUGUGGUAAUGUCUGCAUCAUUCCAAUUAUCGGACAAAUUUGACAUCAAUUUUCCUUCAAAAUUGGCCCUGUUUUGGUUCAAAAUUAGCCCCAUUUUGGUUCUUCUUGCUGUGCUUCUUGUAGAAUGAUGGAUUUCGGGCGGAUGCAGUGGGAAGGAACUCUCUGUUGGAUGGAUGUGAGCGUAAUCUGAAUCUGGAGUUUUUAUUUAAUCCAUAUCUGUGGCUGUUAUUGUUGUUGCGAAUGCUGUAGGCGGUGCUCUGGACUUUCGGUAGUUUUGGUGUGGUGUCUAUCGAGGAUUGAUGAGGAAGAUUGAGUUUUUACUAUUGUUGGGUUUGUUAAUUAGUAAUUUCUCGAUCGUUUUUUGUUAUCAAGAUUCGUCUUUUCUUUUUCUGGUUCUUUUGAUGUUCUCGUUGUGGCGUGGCAGAAUCCUAGUCUUCGGUGGGGCUAAAAAAGACUUUCUGGAUGCGCAUAUUAUACUACGACACCGGGAGUUUUUCCCUCGUCCCUUUUUCCGGUUUCCUUUUUUAUUUCCUGAAAAAAUUAACUGGGGAGUCAAUUAGUAACUGGCCUUAUCUGUUGUAUUGAUUUAGGGGAGCUUGGAUGCAAGAGGGUCUGGUCAUGUUACCCUGCUAUACUGGUUUGCAAGAUUCCUGAGAAUUUUUCUGUCCUUACUUGUUUUCAGCUGUUCUGUUUGACUGGGAGGUUUCUGGCUAUAGAAGCUGAUUUGCUCUGUGAGACAGAUGUCUUCGUUUUCUGAUCUCCUGCAUUACUUUGUGUUGUGCAAUAUAGGGUUUCAGUGGUUCGGAGUUGUUGUGACAACUGAGCCAGCCUUCCUCGGAUGGUAAACUGUUUUGGAGGGAGUUAUCUUCUUACAAACAAUCUUGUGCUUUUGUCACCUUUUGAUAUCUGCAGACCUUUUUUUCCCAGGACAAACACCAUUGAAAUAGCUUUCAACCUCUUCAUUCAAUUUGCCUGCACCUAUUUUGCUGCUUCUUCGUCAGUUAUCUUUGCCCAUUUGUUCUCUUUAGGCUUUUGAAUUUAUUUUGGUUCCAUGCCUUCUGUAUCUUUGGGAAUGGUUCUCAGAUGCUUAGGAUUGUAUCAAUAUGGCAAUAUGGAUGUUGUCAAGUAUUUCUUAGUUUUUAAAUUCUGGUGCUUUUGAUGUGAUCUUAGAAUGAUGGAGUUCUGUGUAUGAAAGUAAAAAGAGCUCUUCCUGGAUGGAUGGAAGCAAAAAGAGCUCUUCUUGGAUGGAUGAAGGUGAUAAAUCGGGAGUUCUCUUCUACCAAUCAAUUCUUUGUUUGUGUUCUUUGCCUAAAAAUCACUGGCGAUCGUUGGUAAUGGCUUAACUAUUGUCUUCAUUUUAGGGAAGUUUGGAUCAGAGCAUUCUCAUCAUGUUUGUUACCCUGCUAUUCGGGCUUAACAAGAUUUUGGAGGACCUCUCUUUCCCUGCUUGUUUUCUGCUGUUUUGUUGAAGUUGAUUAGGACGUUUGUGAAUUUGCUCUGCUUGUUCUCUAAUUUCCUAUAUUACUAGGGUGUUGCAACUUAUUGUUCCAGUGAAGUGAUUCGUGAUUCAAACUUGCCUUUCCAUCAUCGGAACAAGGGCUUGUAAAAUUUUUUGGAGGGAGUUAUUUUCUGACCGACGCUAGUUGUUCUUUUGUGCUUGAGGAAUUUAGGAGUUUUGACACCUUAUUUAUAAUAUAUAAUUUGUCUGUGAAUCUUUUUGGUCUGCAGCAUGUCAUGCAGAGUCAACUUUCCUGAUCCACUAUGAAUGAAUAGAACGGGUUGUAACCAAGUGCAUAUCUUUGCUAUUCAACAGUUUAUUUCGGGAAAAACUGUCUAUGAAUGCUUUCAACCUACCUAUUCAAUUCACCUAAGGUUAGCAUUUUUUUGGCUUUUGGAUUUGAUGGACUAGUUUAAUCCGGGGCUUUUCUUUGGGGAUGGUUCCGUGCUACUCAGUAUAUAACAGGAAGUAGAUUCCGUCAUCAAACAUUCUUGUAUGGGUGGGGGGUUCCUGGUAUUUUGCUUAUUCAGCUGGAUCUGAAGAAGAGUUAAGGCUAUGCAUAUUGGUUUGAUCGAAUGGUAAAUUGUUGACAGUUUUUAUUUGAGGAUUAUUCUCAUCUUUGUGCCAAGUCUUCUGAUCCAUUCCUUUACUGAGGGUGGUGACGGAGCAUGGGCUUUUGGAUGCCAUUCUUCUUAGAAUUAUGGGGUGCGAUUCUUCUUGGAAUUAUGCAAUGGAUGUGAAUGUGAUCCUUAAUUUUGCUUUCUGCUUUAUUUUUGCAUUGUUGUAGGCAGUUGUUCUGGUUUUUCAGCUGUCUCCCUAUAGAGUUGAUUGUAGAAGGACUUGACGCUAAUUACUAUGUUUUGUUGUUGGUGGUUUUUCAAGAUUUGUCUUUUCUUCUUCUGGUUUUUUUGAUGUCGUCUUUCAAGAAUAGUGGAUUUCUGGUGCGUGGAGGCUAGAAAAGCUCUCUCUUGGAUGGAUGUGAAUAAAAUUGGGAGAUUUUCUUUUCAAUAUGGUCUUUCUUUGUUCUCUUUGCCUGAAAAAAUCACGGGGGCGGUUGGUGAUGGCUUCUGUCUGUUGUCUUGAUUUUAGGGAAGCUUGUUGCAGGAGUGUUGGUGUGUUUAAUACCCAGCUAACCGGAUUUGUAACAAGAUUUUGGAUAAGCUCUCUCUUUCCCUACUCUUAUGUUUUUUGGCUGUUUCUUUAAAAAUGAUUUUCUUUACUUGUUCUCUAAUUUACUAUAUCAUUUUGUGUCAAAUCUAGGAUUUUGGUGAUUCAGAGGUGUGGCCAAAACUUAGGUCUCUGUCCUCAGAUCAAAGGCUAGUACAUUAUUAUAGAGGGGUUUAUCUUCUUACCUAUGCUUAUCAAUUUUUUUUUUUUGCUUGAGCAUUUUACAGGUUUUAGUACGUUUUGAUGUCUGCAUACUAUUAUAAAUAUAAUCUAAUUUUUUUUGUAAAUUUUUUCCUUCACAGUCCAUCAUGAUUGUAGAAAUGCCCUAUGCAUCAUUUGUUUGGUCAGUAAUUGCUUGGAAGUCGUGCAUUUCUGACCCUCAAGGAAAAGGUAUCGCUGGGAUUAUCCCAGCGAUUAAUGGUUGGACACCUUCGACCUGCCCAUUCAAUUCACAUGCACCCAUUUUGUUGCUUAUCCCAUGCCUUUUCUACCUCUGGCGAAUGGUUUUCAGGUGCUUAGGAUCUUACCAGUUUGGCGAUUUUGAUCUUCUGAAGUAUUUCUUAGUGCUCAAAUUCUGCCACUAAACAUGUUUUUUUAAGGUAGUUUCUGGUGUUUUGGUGGUUCAUCAUGAUCUGAAGUUUAUGCUUGUUAUAUGAAUGGUGUUGGUGUUAUGGUAGGUGAUCUAAAUUUGUAAAAAGUUGGUAUUAUUGGUUCAUUCCAUUGUCAGUUCUCAUCUUUGUGCCUAAUUUCAAAUUUUUGUUGGCUUUUUUGUGUUGCUUGCCGAACUCAUGGUCAAAGGGAGGUCUGUGCGAUGUGUCUCUUUGUGAAUAAAUUGGAUGGGUUUGAACAUAAUGUAAAAUCUGGAGCUUUUAUUUGGACCUGCAGGUGGUGUAUUUGUUGUUGCAAUAGGUGGUGGUGCUAGAGGUGGUGGCUCUGAGUUUCCAGAAGUUUCUCUGUGGUGUUGAUUAAGAAUUGAUCAUGAAGGCCUACACUUUCUUGCAGUUUUGCAGUAUGUUGAGUACUUUGUGAAUGGUACUCUUUUUUUUUUUUUUUUUCUAAAGAUUGUCUCUUCUUUUCUGGUUCUUUUGGUGUGGUGGUCUUAGAAUGGAGGAGUUCUGCAUGGGCAAAAAGAGCUCUCUUCUCUUGGAUGGAUGGAUGUGGAUAGCUUGGAUCAAAGCAUUCUUAUCAUGUUUGCUACCGUGGUAUUCUGGGUGAAAAAAUUUUGGAGGAGCUCUCUCUUUCCCUACUUGUUUUCUGUUGUUUUCCUUGAAAUUGAUUGAGAGAUCUCUGGAUGGUAGAUUUGCUGUCUCUUUUCUAAUUUCCUAUAUUACUAGGGCUUCGGUGAAGUUGGUUCAACUUACCUCUCCAUUUUCGGAUUGAGGGCUAGUAAACUUUUUUGGAGGGAGUUAUUUUCUCGCCUAUACUAAUUUAUCUUUUGUGCAUGAGGAAUAUAGGGGUUUUGACACUUUAUUUAUAAUUUUUCUGUUAAUCUUUACUUAUACCGUCUCCAUUAUUUGGUCUGGCAGUAAUUCCUGCAGAGUUGACUCUCUUGAUCCAUGAGAAAUAGAUUGAGGUAUAACCAAGAGUGUCUCUGCUUAUUGUCAACUUGUUUAUUUCUAAACCAUCUAUGAAUUGCCUUCUGUCCAUUCAAAUUCACCUAAGUUAUCGUACCCAAUUUUUCUUUUCUUGGCUUUCGUAUUUUGAUGGAUUAGCUUAGUCCAGGACUUUUCUUUGGGGAUGGCUCUGCAGUGCCUGGUAUCUAACGGGAAUUAAAUUCUGUCAUCUAACAUGUCUGUAUAGGUAGGGCUCUUUGGUGUCGCUGAUUCAUCAUGGUCUGAUGAAGAAUGAAUGCUACAUUUAUCAGUUCUGAUAAUAUGGUAGAUGAUCUACAAUUUUUAUUUCAUCUUUGUGCCAAGUUCAAGUCUCUGUUUGGCUAUUCAUGUUUUCACUCGCAGAAUUCUGCUGAGGGUGGUGACUGACUGGGGGCUUUUGGAUGUGUCGAUUCUUAACAAUUAUUGGAUGGAUGUGAACGUAAUCUGUAAUCUGGAGUUUUGCUUUCUGUGUCAUUGUUGCAUUGCUAUAGGCAGUUGCAUUACUGUUUGCUUCGAUCUUUGUGAUGUUUCAAGAUUUCGUUUCUUCUCUGGUUCUUUUGAUGUCGUCUUUCAAGAAUAGUGGACUUCUGGCGUGCGGAGGGUAGAAGGCUUUCUUUUGGAUGGAUGUGAAUUAAAUCGGGAGUUUUUCUUGCCAACGUGUUUGUUCUCUUUCCUGGAAAAUUCACUGGGGGUACUUGGUGAUGGUUGCUAUCUGCUGUCUUGAUUUUAGGGAAGCUUGAACCGGGAGUAUUGGCCAUGUUUGGUAUCCUGCUAUUUGGUUUUGUGAUGAGAUCUUGGAUGAGCUUUUCUUUUUCCCUACUCUUUCUUUUUCUAUUUUUUUGUUCAUUUUCUUGAAAAAUGAUUUUCUUUCUGUGUGCUUUAAUUUAUUAUAUUAUUUUGUGUUAGUGUCUAGGAUUCCCAUGACUUGGAGGUUUGGCGAAGACUUAAGGUCUCUAUUGUCAGAUCAAAGGCUAGUAUAUUGUUUUGGAGGGGGGCUGUCUUCUUACCUACUCUUCAGCGUCACGAUCUAGCCACAUGAAACCUCAGUCUGAACAGUCACCCCUAUUGGAUUUGCCUUAGAUGAGGGCUAGCAUUUGUGUGAAUGCGAAGUCAGCACAGUAAUAUGAGGCACGGAUCAAAAUAUGCGCAAUGUCAGUCCCACGCAAAAAGAUGUGGAAGAAUGCUUUGAUAGUUGCUGCAGUGAAAACCUGUUGUUUCCCGAGAUGUAGAGAAGUAUGUGAAUUUUGCUUGUAGCAUGGUGGCCUUACCAUUCCUUUCUGCUUGAGGAUGUUACGGGCUUUGGUACUUCUGAUGUCUAUAAUUUAAAUUUAAUUUAAAAUUUUGAUGAUCCCUUUCUUCUGCAGUCCACUAUGUUUAUGGAAAUACCUUAUGCAUCAAUCAUUCUGGCAGUAAUCACUUGGAAAUCCAUGUUCCUGAUCCUCAUUUAAGAGAGCAGCGAUUUGCGUAUCACUGCUUAAUCCCAACUGUUAAUUGUGCUGUGACCUGCCCAUUUAAUUCACUUGCACCUAUUUUGCUUCCCCAUUAAUGUGCGAUUAGCUUAAUCCCAGGCACUUUCUUUCUUUGGGGAUUGUUUUCUUGUAAGCUAUCUAAUUCUGCCAUUGAACAUGUAUGUAUAGCCGGUUCCUGGUGUUCAUCAUGAUCUGAAAAGAAUUAACAUUAUGCUUGGUAUAUUAAUUAGUUUUGAUGGUAUGUAUAUAAUCUAAAUUUCUGGAUGGUUGGGGACUAAUGGACAGCUCUGAUAUUGGUUUCCAUCUUGGUGUCGAGUUUUAAGUUGGGUUCUGAUGUCCUGGUACUUCCUUGCAGAACUCUAUAGUCCUAGCGAGAGGAUUGUGAAGACAGAGAGGUCUCUUGGAUGAUGAUGUUAUUCAGAUAUCCACGAUACUGUGGUUUGAAUCAUGGAAUCUCUCCAUUCCAUCCUGUUAUUGUGUUUGUCGAAAACAUCACAUGCAUUAGUCAGGCUUUAUAAUUUGUUUAAUUCUGCAGAUUGGAUUUAGAGUUUGGUCAUGGUUUGAUUCUUAAGUAACAGGUUCAAGAUAAAUGUUUUAGGCCUUAUGGAAUUGGGUAGCACGGUGGGAUGAUGUUUUUAGCUUUUGAUGGAUGAAUUCUGAAUUAGUCAUGAUGGUCGUUCAGCUAUGCUGUUUUCAGCGUUUUUACUAUUGAGUUCAUGAGUAAGUAUUCGAAAGGAUAAAGGGUGCAUAGAAAUAUUUGGUUUGUCAUGUUCUUCAGGGUCCAGUACAAGUGUGUGGAAAAUCCUGACAUCAAUUAGCGUCAUCAUCUGUCAAAACACUCUUUGUCGCUAUUUGAUGUUUUUGCUGUAGACUGACGGGGUGAAUUAUCAGAAUUCGGGGAUGCAAAGAAGAACUUUAUUGGAGGGAUGGGAAAAUUUAUGGUUCACCAUGAUCCUGAUUGAUUUUGCAUAUGCUGAAUGUGAUUGUUGCUGGGCUUAUUAUUGACUUAUCUGGUUUCCAUUUAGGGAGCUUGAAUUCAAGAAUCUCUGGUCAUUUUGUUACCUUUUGUUACCUGGUAUUGUGGUCUACAUGAUUUCAAAGGAGUUCCUCACUCGUGGUUGUGCCUGGUUUUCUUUGUACAGCACUGUUUUUUUUAAGUUAUGGCAUUCAAUUUCAGGAAGAGCUGGGAGUUGAACUGGGAUGAAUGUUUUCAAGCCUGAAUUUCUGCAUUUACUAACCCAUUCUGCUUGCAUACUACUGAUUGCCAUGAAAUCGAAACAGACAUAGAGGUUUCUUAUCCUGAUCAUUUGUAAUGGAUAUGAGUGCAAUUGCAGUGUCAUUUUGUUUGUCCAGGUUUAUUCAUGACGGUGUCGUCAAUAUACUUUGAAGUUUGCAAAUUCUGCUUCGAUAGCAUGAGAGGAGAUUUGGUGGUGUCUAGCAAAAUUUUGGAUAUUCUGUAGCAAGCAUGCUUAUUCCAGUGAAUUUGAGAUAUCUUUACCUCAACCAGUUCUUGAGUUUAAUAUCCAGAAAUUGGGAUUUCUAUUUCUGUUUCUCCUUUCAAGUCAUAUAGAUUGUUGAUGUGGCGCUUCCCAGUGUACCUGGAAUUUGAUUGACAACUUUGAUAUUAUUUGAAUGUGGAAAGAAACUUCUGAUAAUGGGGUGCGGCCUAAGAUGUAACUCAGUAUGGAUUAUGGUCAUGGUCAAGUUGGUGGUAUAUUUCUUGCUUGUAUCGUUCUUGGGCUUUUGGUGUGUUGUAACUGGCAAGUCCAUUAUUAUAGAAGAGGGUCAGAAAACCGUAGUCCUCCUCUAUCACCAUUGAAUACUUGCUGAUAGCCUUCAUUAUCUACAAUUGAAUGGAAGAAAACAUUUGGUUAUUCUCACUUUGUAAGCAGAUGCUGGUUCAGUCAGGAUGCUUGUAAUUCUGCCUGUCACAUCAGACAGCCGGUCCCAAGCCCGGCAAAAAGAGGAGGGAAAGCAUGAUCUUAUGUGAGAUAGGUCAUUACUAAAUAUUCAUUACUAUGGUUCUUCCAAGUCUUACUAAUAGAUUACAAUGUCUUGCUGUUGUGUGAUCUGGGAAAUACUUGCUGAUGUUCUCUCCUUGGAAGGAUGUAUUUUCCUCCUCUCUUCAUUUGGUGGAUUUGUGAAUGGCUGGGGCUCCAUUCAUACGUACAAUUUCUGCCUUUUUAGAGUUGGUGAUCAGUACAGAAUGUUUCAAUGGCUUUGUUUUAUCGGUCCGUUAUCUUGUUAGAUGGGUUAUUUUUGAAAGGCUUAGGCGAGGCAAGAACUUGAAGCAAUGGCUUGUGUUGUUUUCGUUGGGGGAAGUGAAAACCAUUUUUAACUCCAAAGCCUGUAUGGUGACAUAUAGUUUAGUUUCUAAUGCAAAUUACUAUUUGUUUUUAGUCGAAACAAUUUCUUCUUGGAUGGUUCUUGAAGAUCUAUGUGGAUGCGAAUGCCUUUUUAAACAUCUUAUCUUCCAUUCAUGCU